This 446-nucleotide ribosomal RNA is filed under the name uncultured bacterium. RNAcentral describes it as "bacterial SSU rRNA". It matches the Rfam family "Bacterial small subunit ribosomal RNA", at positions 29 to 482 of the family's 1533-position model. The record is from RNAcentral.
AACGAACGCUGGCGGCGCGUCUUAAACAUGCAAGUCGAACGAUCUGUAGCAAUACAGGGAGUGGCGGACGGGUGAGGAACACGUAGGAAUCUACCUAGAAGAGCGGGACAACUUUGGGAAACCGGGGCUAAUACCGCAUAGUACAGAGAUGUUAAAGGGCUAGCAAUAGUCGCUUCUAGAUGAGCCUGCGGUCUAUCAGCUUGUUGGUGAGGUAAUGGCUCACCAAGGCAGCGACGGAUAGCCGGUCUGAGAGGAUGAUCGGCCACACUGGCACUGAGACACGGGCCAGACUCCUACGGGAGGCAGCAGUGGGGAAUUGUUCGCGAAUGGGCGCGAGCCUGACGACGCAACGCCGCGUGGAGGAUGAAGAUCUUCGGGUCGUAAACUCCUUUCGAUCGAGACGAAUGGCCCUUGGGCUAAUACCCUGAGGGAGUGACGGUACCGAG